GAGCAGCCGCUGAGCCGAACGUACUUCAGUCGAUGAUGAUCAACUAAAAAUACUCAAGAGUCAAGCCGAGAGACCUGACUCUUGAGCCGACCGAUCAAGCCGUCACUCUUCCUAAUCCGGGCCAGGCCUUCCUAUUCCUCGGGCCUUGUGGGAUGGUCAAAUCCAUCCUCUACAGAGAGGAUCUCAUAGGAGACUGAAG
RNAcentral lists this long non-coding RNA (199 nucleotides) under Brassica napus (rape). RNAcentral describes it as "long non-coding RNA (BNAP_LNC009853)". The record is from RNAcentral. Lineage: Eukaryota; Viridiplantae; Streptophyta; Magnoliopsida; Brassicales; Brassicaceae.